Molecule: ribosomal RNA, 253 nt
Filed under: uncultured bacterium
Lineage: Bacteria
Description: partial 16S ribosomal RNA
Rfam family: Bacterial small subunit ribosomal RNA
Source: RNAcentral
UACGAAGGGUGCAAACGUUGCUCGGAAUUAUUGGGCGUAAAGAGCUCGUAGGCGGUCUGUCGCGUCGGCUGUGAAAUCCCGAGGCUCAACCUCGGGUCUGCAGUCGAUACGGGCAAACUAGAGUAUUGCAGGGGAGACUGGAAUUCCUGGUGUAGCGGUGAAAUGCGCAGAUAUCAGGAGGAACACCGGUGGCGAAGGCGGGUCUCUGGGCAAUAACUGACGCUGAGGAGCGAAAGCGUGGGGAGCGAACAGG